Molecule: ribosomal RNA, 253 nt
Filed under: uncultured bacterium
Lineage: Bacteria
Description: partial 16S ribosomal RNA
Rfam family: Bacterial small subunit ribosomal RNA
Source: RNAcentral
UACAGAGGGGGCAAGCGUUGUUCGGAAUUACUGGGCGUAAAGGGCGCGUAGGCGGCCUGCUAAGUCGAACGUGAAAUCCCUGGGCUCAACCCAGGAACUGCGUCCGAUACUGGUUGGCUUGAAUCCGGGAGAGGGAUGUGGAAUUCCAGGUGUAGCGGUGAAAUGCGUAGAUAUCGUAAGGAAGACCAGUGGCGAAGGCGGGUCUCUGGACAGUUCCUGACGCUGAGGCACGAAGGCCAGGGGAGCAAACGGG